This is a long non-coding RNA of Symphalangus syndactylus (siamang), 2720 nucleotides long. RefSeq lists it as uncharacterized. The record is from RefSeq and is a predicted model, not a curated record. NCBI's taxonomy places the organism in Eukaryota, Metazoa, Chordata, Mammalia, Primates, Hylobatidae.
GAAGCACCCAAUUUGAAGCUUGACGGAACGUGGCUCAACACCGCCAUCACCAUUGUUGUCACAGCUGUGUGACCUCCAACAGGUCUUCUUGGGCCUCAGUGGGUCAUUAGAGGCAGUAAGGGAGUGACAGAAGCACACACUGAAAGCGACAGUGGAGCCAUCAUGUAGCUGAGUCAGUAUGCUGCGGAUUUAGUCCUUGCUCUGGCCCCAAUGGACUGUGUGACCUUGGACAAGUCCCUUCUUCUUCCUGGGUUGCUGUUGAAGUUUCCCCAUCUGUACACUGAAAGGACUGCAUCAGUGCCCAAGAAAGAAGUGGGAACCAUUGCUAGGCGAGCAUCAUCUAACCUUGUGCUCUGCAAGGCCUUGAGGAAAAGACAAUCCACAUCAGAAGCCAAAGAGAAACCAGGGAUAUGAGUGAGAAAUGAAGGAAGGCUGUGGCGCCCCUCUCCACCCUCUCCCUUUCCCCACCGGCUGGAAGAUGCUCCUGUCCAAAUGGGAAAUUGAAUCCAAAAUAGCACAAUAAAGGAAAGGAAGCGCUCCAGGAGCAGAUGGGCUCCCACUCACCGUCCUGAGGAAUGUGCUGACUAUUCAGGAACAGGCCUUUGGCAGUCACUUAACACAAUCACGAAGCAAAGGGAAAUGAUCAAGUCUGUCACCAGGGUCAGUGCCAAUUUGUUUAAGAACGUGGUGAGGCUGAAAAGGAGGAUGUGGGGAAUGGGAGGCCCCGAACAUUCCUGGAGCCAGUUUGCAAAACCUCCCGGGCAGCAAUCCCAGUUAGGCCCAGAAAGGCCAGAGGCUUCUGGGGUUCUUGGAGGAAGCCUUUCCGGUUCCUCUCUCCUGUGGCCCAGGGCUUGUAGCCCCAGAUCAACCUCCCAGCCAGCCUGGACUCUCCUCCUGACCACAUUCAUCUCAAGGACAAGAGCACCGGCUGCAGCCGUCUCCACAAUAAAGGGGAGAAUGCAACAGCUCCUCCGGGUGCCAAUUGAGGACACUGCCGAUGCUGGGGCUGCAGUCUCAAGCUGCUGAGCCUACGUGAACAAAGUCAAGGCAACUGCGGCAUGGUGUGUGAGUCAGCUGCUUGGCUCUUCUGUGUGUGUGUGCGUGUGUGUGUGUGUGUGUGUGUGUGUGUGGUGAGGGAGGUGGAUUCUGGAUGAGUGAGAGACUAAAACGAAAUUGGAAACACGACCGCUAAAAGACUAACAUUUUCAGGCCAAGUCAGCUCAUCCGCCCUGCAAAAGAGCAUUUGAAACCCUAGCCAGGCCCGCUCCUGUCCGACUUAUUAGCCCCUGUGGACUGGCUUAUAGCAGGGAUUUUACAACUGAUAGAAGCCGGCAGUGUAGGGAAAAUAGCAAAAGGGCUCUGGAGCCAGAGAGAUGAACAUUGAAAUCUGGGCAAGGGACUCACCUCCUUGAACCUUGGUAAAAGAAUUCGGUAACUUAGGUUGAACCAUAUGAAAAUGCUAUUUUGUGGGUCAAAAAAGAUUGAAUAUUGACAAUUUCUUAUGGUUCAACCCAAUAGCCCCUUCCUCCCAGAGUUUUUGUGCAGAUUAAAUGAGCUAAUAUACAAGAGUGUUUAUACCAGCAUGAGACACAUGAUAAAUGCCCAAUACAGGAUAAUCAUGAUGAUGGUGAUGAUAAUGGGUAUUUAACACCUAAUUUUGGCCACAGAAUGAGCCCUGACCCUGGCCAUCUCAUAAAUACAAGUCCUGGAUAGGCUGAAAUACCUCAGGGACAUAAUCUACAGGGUUAAAAUAUUUCCCUGACCAAAUAACACCCCCCAACCUAGGCUGUCCCAGCUCUUAAAAUUUUUUGCUUAUAGGUCACUCUGUGGUGAAACCACUCUUCAAUGAAGGCUCCCACUAAAGAGUCCCCAAAGGGGAAGAGAUUCAUUCACUGAUUCAUUCGUUAAUUGAACAGCUUGUAUCAAGAGCCUAUUAUGUUGCCAGGCACUGUGCUAGGUGCUGGAUUGAAGAAGGUAUGGUCCCUGCCCUGGAGGAAUUUGCAAUUAGAUAUGAGGGAAGCCCCCAGACAGGUACCAACAGUCCACUUUUGACAAGUGUCAUAGCCGUAAAAAGUAUGUCCCAAGAUUUGUGGGGUCACUGAAGAGGGAUCAUCCUCUCUCUGAGGCAGGAGAAUAGAUUCUGGAGGCAGGGAACCUAAGGCCGUUUCACGCUAAGUUCCUAGAACUAAAUUGAAAGGAGAACCCUAACUUUCCAUGCCUAAGUAACAAAAGGACCAGAGGCUACUCCCUUUGCAAGCUCCCACCUUUUCUGCGUGGCUGAUGGGAAGUUGAAAGUACCUAUGAUUGGUUGUUAGACAUUUGCAUAGGAGUGUAACUUUGAAACUUCACUUCAGCCUCUAUAGGCUGUCCACAACCAAUCAGACUGAUUGCAGGUCAAGUCUUCGUUUGCAUAGAAGUGCAACAUUGUAACUUCACUUGAGCCUCUGAUUGGUUGCUGUCUACAACCAAUCAGAUCUUUGCAUAAAAGUGUGACCUUUGUAACUUCACUUCAGCCUCUGAUUGGUUGCAAUAAGACUGGUUGCAGACCACCACUUCAUUUACAUGGGGUGAACACCACGUGGCCAAUGGGAAACCUCUAGGGGAUAUUUGGACCCGAGAAGAUUCUGUAUCUGGGCCCUUGAAUGGCUGCUCAGGCCCGUUCCCAUGCUGUGGAGUGUACUUUCGUUUUCAAUAAAUCUCUGCUUUUGUUUCAUUCUUUC